AUAUCAUGUCCACUAUUACACUAUCAUACAGAAUUGUGUCUCACUGCCAUUAAAAUGUGCUGCACUUCACCUGCCCUUUCCCUGAAUUCCUGCCAACCACUGAUCUUUUUAAUGUCUCUGUGUUGUUAUUGGGGAGCCCUAGUGGCACAGUUGUUAAGUUCAGCUGCUAAACAAAAGGUUGGCAGUUCGAAUCCACCAGCCACUCUUUGAAACCCUACAGGGCAGUUCUACUCUGCUAUAGAGUUGCUAUGAGUCAGAAUAGACUCGAUGGCAACAGGUUUGGUUUGUGUUAUUGUUAGGUGCCCUCGAGUCAGUUCAAACUCAUAGUGACCCCUAUGGACAACAGAAUGAAACACUGUCCAGUCCUGUGCCAUCCUUACAAUCCUUGCUAUAUUUGAGCCCAUUAUUGCAGCCACUGUGUCCAUCUGUCUCCUUGAGGAUCUUCUCAUUUUCACUGACCCUCUACUUUACCAAACGUAAUGUCCUUCUCCAGGUACUGAUCUUUCCUGAUAACAUGUCCAAAAUACGUGAGAUGAAAUUUCACUGUCCUUGCUUCCAAGGAGCAUUCUGGCUGUACGUCUUUCAAUACAGAUUUGCUUGUUCUUCAGGCAGUUCAUGGUAUAUUUAAUAUGCUUUGCCAACAUCAUAAUUCAAAGGCAUCAAUUCUUCUUCACGCUUCCUUACUCAUUGUCCAGCUUUCACGUGCAUAUGAGGUGAUUGAAAAUACAAUCACUUGGGUCAGGUGCACCGUAGUCUUCGAGGUGACGUCUUUGCUUUUGAAUACUUUAAAGAGGUCUUUUGUAGCAGAUUUGCCCAAUUCAAUAUGUCAUUUGAUUUCUUGAUUUCUGCUUCCAUGGGUGUUGAUUGUGGAUCCAAGUAAAAUGAAAUCCUACCAACUUCAAUCUUUUCCCCGUUUAUCAUGAUAUUGCUUAUUGGUCUAGUUGUGAGGAUUUUUUGUUUUCUUUAUGUUGAGGUGUAAUCCAUACCGAAGGUUGUGCUCUUUGAUCUUCCUCAGUAAGUCCUUCAAGUCCUUUUUGCUUUCAGCAAGGAUGAUUGUGUCACCUGCAUAUCGCAGGUUGUUAAAUGAGUCUUUCUCCAAUCCUGAUGUUGCAUUCUUCUUCAUACAGUCUGGUUUCUUGGAAUAUCUGCUCAGCAUACAGAUUGAAUAAGUAUGUGAAAGGAUACAACCCUGAUGCACAUCUUUACUAAUUUUAAACCAUGCAGUAUUCAUUGUUCCAUUUGAAUAACUGCCUCUUGGUCUGUGUACAGUUUCUUCAAGAGCACAAUUAAGUGUUCUGGAAUUCUCAUUCUUUGCUAUGCUAGCCACAACAUAUAGUCCAGCUUCUCAAACUAUUUUCUCAGCAUUAAAAUUGAAUACUGUUAUUUUUAUAAAAAUAACAUGUGCCUUCUAUGUUUGUUUGUUUAUGGCGUACUCUUCCCACAAGGUAUAUUUGUAAGCAUGUUACACUAAUUUUCUUUUUACAGUAAUAUGUAAAAAAAAUUGACAUACUGGCAUUUAUGAAAAUACCUUCUGAGGGGAGGACACCACUGGCAAAAGUAACAUAGAAGGUGCAUGUUAUUUGCAUAAAAAUUUAGUUAGUAUGUUGAAAGAUACACCCCUGACACACACCUUUCCUGAUUUUAAACCAUGCAGUAGUACCCCCUUGUUCUGUUUGAAUGACUGUCUCUUGGUCUAUGUACAGGCUAUGCAUGAGCAAAAUUAAGUGUUCUGGAAUUCCCAUUCUUCACAAUGUUAUCCGUAAUUUGUUAUGAUCCACACAAUCGAAUUCCUUUGCAAAGUCAGUAAAACACAGGUAAACAUCUGUUAUUCUCUACUUUCAGUCAAGAUCUAUUUGACAUCAGCAGUGAUAUCUCUCAUUCCUUCUGGUAAAUCCAGCUUGAAUUUCUGGAAUUUCUCUGCCAAUGUACUGCUGCAACAGUUUUUGAAUUAUAUUCAGCAUAAUUUUACUUGCAUGUGAUAUUAAUGAUAAUGUUUGAUAAUUUCUGCAUUCUUUUGGAUCACCUUUCUGUGGAAUAAGCAUGUAUAUGGAUCUCUUCAGUCAGUUGGCCUGGUAGUUGUCUUCCAGAUUUCUUGGCAUAGUUGAGUGAGCACUUCCAUCAUUACACUGUUUGUUGAAACAUCUCAACUGGUAUUCCCUUAAUUCCUGGAGCCUUGUUUUUCGCCAAUGCCUUCAGUGCAGCUUGGACUUUUUCCUUUAGCACCAUCGGCUCUUGAACAUACUCUACCUCCUGAAAUGUUUGAUUGUCGAUCAGUUCUUUUUGGUACAGUGACUCUUUGCAUUCCUUCCAUCUUCUUUUGAUGUUUCCUGAGUCAUUCAAUAUUUUCCCCAUAAAAACUAAAAAACCAAACCUGUUGCAGUGAAGUAAAAUCCGACUCAUAGCCACCGUAUAGGACAGAGUAGAACUGCUCCUGAGGGUUUCCAUUGAGCGGCUGGUGGAUUCAAACUGCCGACCUUUUGGUUAGUAGCCAAACCCUUAACCACUGUGCCACCCCUUCAGUAUUGCAACUUGAGGCUUGAAUUUUUUCUUCAGUUCUUUCAUUUUCAGAAAUGCCAAGCAUGUUCUUCCCUUUUGGUUUUCUAACUCUAGGUCUUUGCAUUUUUCAUUUUGAUACUUUAGUUUGUUUUCUCGAGCUGCUCUUUUGAAAUUUUCUGUUCAGCUCUUUUAUGUGAUCAUUUCUUCCUUUUGCUUUAGAUACUCUUCAUUCAAGUGCAAGUUUCAGAUUCUCUUCUGACAUCCAUUUUGGUAUUUUCUUUCUUUCCUCUCUUUUAAAUGACCUUUUGGUUUCUUCAUGUAUGAUGUCCUUGAUUUCAUCCCACAACUCAUCUGGUCUUUGGUCAUUAGCAUUCAAUGCAUCAAAUCUGUCCUUGAAAUGGUCCGUAAAUUCGGGUGGUAUAUAGUCAAGGUCAUAUUUUGGUUCUGGUGGACUUGUUUUUAUUUUCUUCAGCUUCAGCUUGAACUUGCGUGCAAGCGAUUGAGGUCUCUUCUGCUGUCAGCCCCUGGCCUUGUUCUGAAUGUUUCUAUAGUUUUGCCUUUUCCAGAAUGUCAUGUAGUUGAAAUCAUACAGUAUGUAGUUUUUUUUAGACUGGCUUCUUUCUCUUAGCAAUAUGCAUUUAAGUUUUAUCCAUGUCUUUUUGUAGCUUGACAGGUCAGUCCUUUUUAUCAAUGAAUAAUGCUCCUUUAUAUUGAUAUACUAUAGUUUACUCAUCCUUUCAUCUAUUGAAGGUUAUCUCAGUUGCUUCCAAUUUUUGCCGUUAUGAAUAAAGCUGCAAUAAACACUCUUCUGCAGAUUUUUAUGGGGACAUAUAUUUUCAACGUAUUUGGGCAAAUACCUAGACGUGUGAUUGCUAAAUUACAUGGCAAGUCUGUGUUUAUCUUUACAACUGUCAAAUAAUCUUCCAAAGUGGCUGUACCAUUUGUAUUCCUAUCAAAAACAAAUGAGAUUUUUUGUUGCACCACACCUUUACUUAAAGCACAAUAAAAAUCAGAAAAAAAAAAAAAGAAUGGCUGACCAAGAUAAUUUUCCAUCAGUGGUCACAUAGGAAUUAACCAGGAAAAUGUACAUGAAGAAAAUGCAUUACUCACAUAUAGUUGCUCUGAGUUCUCUGGAUUAUAGUGCUGUUAAGGAAGUCUUUUUUUAGCUAUUGGUUUUCUCUUUUUGGAGAAGACGGUGUUAAUCUGUCAUGGUAAAUCUUCCACAGCUACUAGGUGUGAGAGUGUUUAAAUAUUGCCUGUUUUGACUGUUUGUUAUCUGUAGAGAAAGGCUGCUAAAAUUCCAGGUUUAAGCAGCUACGUAGAAAAGCUGCUCUCUGUGACAUUUAUGACUCUCCAUGUGGAUUCUUGACCUAAAUUUGCUAAACUAGUUGGCCAAGUUUUCUGACUCAUCCCCUUUCACAAGGCUGGUGUGACUCACCCCAACAAGCUGAAGGGAGGUCAGAAUGGGGAGAUAACUCACAGUGGUAGAUGGACAAGUUGAAGCCGCUGUGGCAAGAGUAUCAUUCUUUACAUACUAUGCUAGCAUGUUCAAGUAACGUGAAAGCCCAAUUAGAGCAGAGUUUUUAACUUGUUUUUACAAUUUUCCUGCAAAAUUCUUACCUGUAACUGUUGAAGCUUGGAUGUUAUAUGAAAAACAAUGCAAUGACACUUGUUUGAAGAAUUUUUCAAGGAUUGAUGUUCCUUAGAAGUGACAGUGGCAAGGCUUUGGCUUGCUUACUUCGAACGUGUCAUUCGGAGAGACUAAUCGCUAGACAUGGAUAUCAUGUUUGGUAAAGCAGAGUGCCAGUGAAAACAAGAGAAACCCUCCAUGAGAUGAAUAGACAUAACAGCGGCAACAUACUAAUGCUCAUGAAGAUGGUGCACGAUCAGCCAAUGUUUUGUUCUGUUAUACAUAAGGUUGCCAUGAAUCGGAUGCAGACUGGACAGCAACUAACAACAAGAGCACCACUCACUGUCACAACCUGGAGAGAAGAAGUAAAGCGAUAAAGAAGGAGGAGUUAGGAGAAAAGAAAUGGAUUCCAGGAACAGAAAGAAAGAAAAGAGGCACAAUUGCCGAAUCACUCCCUUCAACCACGGAAAUGAUUUUAAUUACCAAUUCAUCUGUUGGCAGGCUCUCCUGGCAGAUGUACCUGCAACUUGGAAAGAACAAAUGAACCAAUCCCUUACUCCAGAGCUGCCAGUGAGAGUGCUUCCUGAAUUUGCUCUCAGGAAAGAAUCCUGGGCAACAAUACAUCUGGCACUCUGCUCGAGGAAUUUGUCAUGUUGCUGACAUGUGCAGCCUCCAUUGUCCACACCACCCUGACAGCAGGUCCUUUAUAUUUCAAAGAAAUUGCAGUCUGAAUUAAUAUAAUUAGAAUGUAACUGCUCUUCACUGCAGAAACUCCUCAUUUCCAGGAGUACAGAUCUGAUAGCUCGUCUGUGCUCAAAAAUCUUCCCCAUGAUGGCUGUAGGGGAGCCAGCAGACAAUAAAAUGAUGGAGCAUAGACUAUUUCAUUGGCCUUUUUAAAUAUUAACUAAUAGAAAUAUAGGAGGAGAAGAAAGCUGCCCUAUCUCUGGCAUAUCUCAAUGAAAAUAUCUUUCAAGUUUACCGGCCUUUUAUAAAAUAUUUACUAUACGAUGUUUGAAGUGAGGAAAAGAAAUGAAAUAGGAAUGAUUAUGUAUCUUCCAAAAUUCAGUUACCUGAAGUAGAGUGGAUGAUUCAUAGAGAAAAUUACAGAAUUAAGAGGCGGUUGGAAAACAAUUCAUUCUAUACUAUCUCCUCUUUGAAGAGUUGAUAUCACUAACCAAGCGAUUGUCACCAAGUAAGCAGUAAAUUGGGUGCAGGAUUCUCCAAUUCCAUUUUCCAUUAUGUUCUUACAAGUAUUCGAUUUUUGAUAUGGUGGAAACUGACCUCAGUACCUUUUUUUUUUUUAAAUAAUAUUGAUUCACAUUCUCUCAAUUAAGUUGACAUUCUCAUCUUGAGUGACUCAUUUGAGAGGGUCAGUGAUCUGACAUGUGUAUGUAGGCUGAUGCUUACGGCCUCUUCUCUGAAAAAUAUCAAGUCUAUCAUUGUGCUUACGAGCACUUUGGGUUAACGAGCACUGAGAAGGGAUAAUGCUUUCCAUUUUCUUGUUUUUCAUAGAAGCACCUAUUGAUCCUCACCCGAAAUUCUGUGUCAGGAACUACAAUGAUAGAAAUAUGGAGAAUGAAUAAGGCCAUGCAAGAAUAGGGGUAGGGUCUUGUGAAUGAGAGAAGAUUCCAGGAGAUAAAUAUCAGUGACUCUUUUAAUUUUAAAUCAAAUACAUUUUAUAGACCAAAUAUAUCAUGUUAAAGAGCUGUAGCCUUCGGUUCCUCUUUACAAAUUUUGGCUAUACCCUUUCAGUCAGCAUUCUAGCAGAGUCUGGAAUGGUUUCCUGCUUCCAUGUAGACCUGCAGACUGCCUUCCUCUCCUCCCCCGGCCUGGAUAGAUUGACUACCAUUUUGUUUUAACUCAUCCAGUGGUUCUCAGAAUCAGAUGUGCUUCAGAAUUAUGCAUACGUCUGCAAGAGUGGGAGGGACUAGCUAGAAUGCAGUUGCCCAGGUCCUACCUCAAACCCACUGAAGGAGAAUUUUCAGCUGUGGUGUCCAAAUUAUAUAAGUUGAAAACCACCCCAAAUGCUUCCGAUGCACACCAAAUUGGCCAUCUGUAGACCAAUGUUCCAUUUCACUGAUAGAAAUACCCCGGCUGAUGACUUAGGCAAAAUCUUUCUAUAGAUGAUAUGUGUGAAUUUUAAAAUGAAGACAUUUAAUUUAUGUAAAUGAAAAUCCAUUUAAGAUGUUUUGAACCAGUGGUUUUUAGAGGGGCCUAUCAGAAAGUUUCUCAGGCUCCCCCCAAGUGUACAUAGUCCCCUUCACCUUUGCCCUAUUAUUGAUGCUUUGUGGCCCAGUUUGUUCUGUGUAGGUUAGAAAAAAAUGUCAGUAACUCACAGUUUCAGGCCAUUUACUUUGCAAACAAAUAUAAUAGUGAAAUAGGGAUUUAUAUUUUAAUGUAAAAAAAUUCUUGAAUAAACGAUUGCCCCUUCUCUCCAAUAUAUUUGACUUACUACUCUGAAUGUUUAAUUUAUAGGAUUGUGCAUUUUAAACAUAUGUUUAGACAAUCAAAUAUAUCCACAUAUAGAAAAUAUCAGGCUUGCAGGCAAGGCCCAUCCCUCAGACAUGGACACUU
Molecule: long non-coding RNA, 6700 nt
Organism: Loxodonta africana (African savanna elephant)
Lineage: Eukaryota; Metazoa; Chordata; Mammalia; Proboscidea; Elephantidae
Exons: 3
Source: RefSeq, a predicted model, not a curated record